UAGGGAAUCUUCGGCAAUGGACGAAAGUCUGACCGAGCAACGCCGCGUGAGUGAAGAAGGUUUUCGGAUCGUAAAACUCUGUUGUUAGAGAAGAACAAGGACGUUAGUAACUGAACGUCCCCUGACGGUAUCUAACCAGAAAGCCACGGCUAACUACGUGCCAGCAGCCGCGGUAAUACGUAGGUGGCAAGCGUUGUCCGGAUUUAUUGGGCGUAAAGCGAGCGCAGGCGGUUUCUUAAGUCUGAUGUGAAAGCCCCCGGCUCAACCGGGGAGGGUCAUUGGAAACUGGGAGACUUGAGUGCAGAAGAGGAGAGGGGAAUUCCAGGUGUAGCGGUAAAAUGCGUAGAUAUAUGGAGGAACACCAGUGGCGAAGGCGGCUCUCUGGUCUGUAACUGACGCUGAGGCUCGAAAGCGUGGGGAGCAAACAGG
RNAcentral lists this ribosomal RNA (429 nucleotides) under Gemmatimonadota bacterium. RNAcentral describes it as "Gemmatimonadetes bacterium partial 16S ribosomal RNA". It matches the Rfam family "Bacterial small subunit ribosomal RNA", at positions 355 to 776 of the family's 1533-position model. Lineage: Bacteria; Pseudomonadati; Gemmatimonadota. The record is from RNAcentral.